GGAGAGGCCAAAGGGAGCAGACUGUAAAUCUGCCGUCAUCGACUUCGAAGGUUCGAAUCCUUCCCCCACCACCA
RNAcentral lists this transfer RNA (74 nucleotides) under Klebsiella pneumoniae. RNAcentral's name for it is "tRNA-Tyr". It matches the Rfam family "tRNA", at positions 12 to 71 of the family's 71-position model. From Rfam's summary of the family: Transfer RNA (tRNA) molecules are approximately 80 nucleotides in length. Their secondary structure includes four short double-helical elements and three loops (D, anti-codon, and T loops). Further hydrogen bonds mediate the characteristic L-shaped molecular structure. tRNAs have two regions of fundamental functional importance: the anti-codon, which is responsible for specific mRNA codon recognition, and the 3' end, to which the tRNAs corresponding amino acid is attached (by aminoacyl-tRNA synthetases). tRNAs cope with the degeneracy of the genetic code in two manners: having more than one tRNA (with a specific anti-codon) for a particular amino acid; and 'wobble' base-pairing, i.e. permitting non-standard base-pairing at the 3rd anti-codon position. Lineage: Bacteria; Pseudomonadati; Pseudomonadota; Gammaproteobacteria; Enterobacterales; Enterobacteriaceae. The record is from RNAcentral.